AUGAACGCUGGCGGCGUGCCUAAUACAUGCAAGUCGAGCGAACGGACGAGAAGCUUGCUUCUCUGAUGUUAGCGGCGGACGGGUGAGUAACACGUGGAUAACCUACCUAUAAGACUGGGAUAACUUCGGGAAACCGGAGCUAAUACCGGAUAAUAUUUUGAACCGCAUGGUUCAAAAGGGAAAGACGGUCUUGCUGUCACUUAUAGAUGGAUCCGCGCUGCAUUAGCUAGUUGGUAAGGUAACGGCUUACCAAGGCAACGAUGCAUAGCCGACCUGAGAGGGUGAUCGGCCACACUGGAACUGAGACACGGUCCAGACUCCUACGGGAGGCAGCAGUAGGGAAUCUUCCGCAAUGGGCGAAAGCCUGACGGAGCAACGCCGCGUGAGUGAUGAAGGUCUUCGGAUCGUAAAACUCUGUUAUUAGGGAAGAACAUAUGUGUAAGUAACUGUGCACAUCUUGACGGUACCUAAUCAGAAAGCCACGGCUAACUACGUG
This 496-nucleotide ribosomal RNA is filed under the name uncultured bacterium. RNAcentral describes it as "partial 16S ribosomal RNA". It matches the Rfam family "Bacterial small subunit ribosomal RNA", at positions 29 to 507 of the family's 1533-position model. The record is from RNAcentral.